AAGUCUUCCGGUGUGGGAAAGAAAAAUUGGCCCUCGGGCGACGACAUUUUUGAUGCAGCGGCGGCUGCUCAAGCUGCAGCUCUUUUCAUUUUCCAUUUUUUGCUCUCGGGGUC
This is a non-coding RNA of Caenorhabditis elegans, 113 nucleotides long. Lineage: Eukaryota; Metazoa; Nematoda; Chromadorea; Rhabditida; Rhabditidae. The record is from Ensembl.